GGAUGGUAACAGACGUUUGGCUGGCCGGAUUGGAUGCUUUCUCUGCAUUCAGGUACUCUGCAUAGCUGCUGUAUAACCAACUCAUCGAAGCAAACAAGCAAAGAGCAUAUCCUGAUCUCAUUCCUUGACACGGAGGAUCCAUUGACAAAACGAGAUAAAAAUCUCUCUCGGUUCCUGGUGGUUUAGGAUGUUGACUUGGCAGAACGAGGAUACUAUAUCAAAUAGAGAACUCUCCGUUCACUUGGACUUCCCCUCCCACUGAACUCGGAGACUACAUGUCCCUCAUCGGGCGAUGCUAGUGGAGCAAAUGCCUGGUUGAUCGCUUCGGUGGCGAACUCUAUAAACACAAACGCGG
RNAcentral lists this small RNA (355 nucleotides) under Histoplasma capsulatum. RNAcentral describes it as "hypothetical RNA". The record is from RNAcentral. Lineage: Eukaryota; Fungi; Ascomycota; Eurotiomycetes; Onygenales; Ajellomycetaceae. RNAcentral also lists the same sequence under 1 other name.